GACGAACGCUGGCGGCGCGCUUAACACAUGCAAGUCGAACGGAAAGGCCUGCUUUCCCUUGUGGAUUGCGGGUACUCGAGUGGCGAACGGGUGAGUAACACGUGAGUGAUCUGCCCCCAACUUGGGUAUAAGCCUGGGAAACUGGGUCUAAUUCCCGAUAGGACUUCAGGGUGGUGCCUGUGGUGGGAAACGAUUUUCUAGUGGUUGGGGAUGAGCUCGCGGCCUAUCAGCUUGUUGGUGGGGUAAUGUCCUACCAAGGCGGCGACGGGUAGCCGGCCUGAGAGGGUGGACGGCCACAUUGGGACUGAGAUACGGCCCAGACUCCUACGGGAGGCAGCAGUGGGGAAUAUUGCACAAUGGGCGGAAGCCUGAUGCAGCGACGCCGCGUGGGGGAUGACGGCCUUCGGGUUGUAAACUCCUUUCGACCGCGAGGAAGCCACCUGGUUGGAAGGGUGGUGACGGUAGUGGUAGAAGAAGCACCGGCUAACUACGUG
Molecule: ribosomal RNA, 494 nt
Filed under: uncultured bacterium
Lineage: Bacteria
Description: partial 16S ribosomal RNA
Rfam family: Bacterial small subunit ribosomal RNA
Source: RNAcentral